Molecule: ribosomal RNA, 376 nt
Filed under: uncultured bacterium
Lineage: Bacteria
Description: bacterial SSU rRNA
Rfam family: Bacterial small subunit ribosomal RNA
Source: RNAcentral
UACGUAGGGUGCGAGCGUUAAUCGGAAUUACUGGGCGUAAAGCGUGCGCAGGCGGUUUCGUAAGACAGAGGUGAAAUCCCCGGGCUCAACCUGGGAACUGCCUUUGUGACUGCGAGGCUAGAGUAUGGCAGAGGGGGGUGGAAUUCCACGUGUAGCAGUGAAAUGCGUAGAGAUGUGGAGGAACACCGAUGGCGAAGGCAGCCCCCUGGGCCAAUACUGACGCUCAUGCACGAAAGCGUGGGGAGCAAACAGGAUUAGAUACCCUGGUAGUCCACGCCCUAAACGAUGUCGACUAGUUGUUGGUGGGGUUAAACCCAUUAGUAACGUAGCUAACGCGUGAAGUCGACCGCCUGGGGAGUACGGCCGCAAGGUUAAA